RNAcentral lists this long non-coding RNA (2003 nucleotides) under Pan troglodytes (chimpanzee). Its description in RNAcentral is "lincRNA". The record is from RNAcentral. Lineage: Eukaryota; Metazoa; Chordata; Mammalia; Primates; Hominidae.
GUGCCUUUCACCUCCUGCCAUGAUUCUGAGGCCUCCCCAGCAAUGUGAAACUGUAAGUCCAAUUAAACCUCUUUAUCUUCUGAGUCUUGGGUAUGUCUUUAUCAGCAGCAUGAAAAUGGACUAAUAUAGUAAAUUGGUACCAGUGGAGUGGGGUGUUGCUGAAAAGAUAUGAAAGCAACUUUGGAACUGGCUAACAGGCAGUGGUUGGAAUAGUUUGGAGGGCUCAGAAGAAGAAAGGAAAAUGUGGAAAAGUUUGGAACUUUCUAGAGACUUGUCGAAUCACUUUGACCAAAAGUCUGAUAGCGAUAUGGACAAUAAGGUCCAGGCUGAGGUGGUCUCAGAUGGAGAUGAGGAACUUGUUGGGAACUGGAGCAAAGGUGACUCUUACUAUGUUUUAGCAAAGAGACCGGUGGCAUUUUGCCCCGCCCUAGAGAUUUGUGGAACUUUGAACUUGAGCGAGAUGAUUUAGGGUAUCUGGCAGAAGAAAUUUCUAUGCAGCAAAGCAUUCAAGAGUUGACUUGGGUGCUGUUAAAGGCAUUCAGAUUUAUAAGGGAAGCAGAGCAUAAAAGUUCAGAAAAUUUGCAGCCUGACAAUGUGAUAGGGAAGAAAAAUCCAUUUUUUGAGGAGAAAUUCAAGCCAGCUGCAUAAAUUUGCAUAAGUAACAAGAAGCCACAUGUUAAUCCCCAAGACAAUGGAGAAGACAUCUCCAGGACAUAUCAGAGGUCUUCACAGCAGCCCCUCCCAUCGCAGGCCCAGAGGCCUAGGAGAAAAUGGUUUCCUGGACUGGGCCCAGGGCCGGUCUGCUCUGUGCAGCGUAGGGACUUGGCACCCUGUGUCCCAGCUACUCCAGUAGUGGCUGAAAGGGGCCAAAGUACAGCUUACGCCAUGGCUUCAGAGGGUGCAAGCGCCAAGCCUUGGCAGCUUCCGCAUGCUGUUGAGCCUGCAAAUGCACAGAAGUCAAGAAUUUGGAUUUGGGAACCUCUGCCUAGAUUUCAGGAGAUGUAUGGAAGUGUCCGGAUGCCCAGGCAAAAGUUUGCUGCAGGGGCAGGGCCUUCAUGGAGAACCUCUGCUAGGGCAGUGUGGAAGGGAAACAUGGGGUCUGAGCCCCCACACAGAAUCCCUACUGAGGCAUCACCUAGUGGAGCUGUGAGAAAAGAGCCACCAUCCUCCACACUCCGGAAUGAUAGAUCCACCAACAGCUUGCACCAUGCACCUGGAAAAGCCGCAGACAUUCAACACCAGCCCGUGAAAGCAGCCAAAAGGGGGACUAUAUCCUGCAAAGCCACAGGGGAGGAGCUUCCCAAGACUAUGGGAACCUACCUCUUACAUCAGCAUGACCUUUGUGUGAGACCUGGAGUCAAAGGAGAUCAUUUUGGAGCUUUAAAAUCUGACUGCCCUGCUGGAUUUCAGACUUGCAUGGGCCCUACAACCCCUUUGUUUUGGCCGAUUUCUCCAAUUUGGAAAGGCUGUAUUUACCCAAUACCUGUACCCGCAUUGUAUCUUGGAAGUAACUAGCUUGCUAUUGAUUUGACAGGCUCAUAGGCAGAAAGGACUUGCCUUGUCUCAGAUAAGACUUUGGACUGUGGACUUUUGGGUUAAUGCUGAAAUGAGUUAAGACUUUGGGAGACGUUUGGGAAGGCAUGAUUGGUUUUGAAAUGUAAGGACAGGAGAUUUGGAGGGGCCACAUGUGGAAUAAUAUGAUUUGGUUGUGUCCCCACCCCAAUCUCAUCUUGAAUUAUACUCCCAUAAUUCCCAUGUGUUGUGGGAGGGAACUGGUGGGAGAUAAUUUGAAUCAUGGGAGCAAUUUCCCCCAUACUGUUCUCAUGGUAGUGAAUAAGUCUCAUGAGAUCUGAUGGUUUUAUCAGGGGUUUCUGCUUUUGCAUCUUCCUCAUUUUCUCUUGCUGCUGCCAUGUAAGAAGUGCUUUUCGCCUCUCGCCGUGAUUUUGAGGCCUCCCUAGCCAUGUGGAACUGUAAGUCCAAUUAAACCUCUUUUUCUUGCCAGU